This 2419-nucleotide long non-coding RNA is filed under the name Gallus gallus (chicken). RNAcentral describes it as "lncRNA (ENSGALG00010021967.1)". Lineage: Eukaryota; Metazoa; Chordata; Aves; Galliformes; Phasianidae. The record is from RNAcentral.
CUGGGGAUUUGGUGCUCUUGUUGCACUUUUCCUCCUUACCUGUUGUGCAAACUUUGCUUUUUGUAGUAACGCAUCUCUUUGUGUUCUCAGCCGCAGCUGCCAAAAUCGUCUGUAAUAACGAGAGCUGAGCCAAAUGAAAUUGGGAUGCCGAGCCGCGUAGCCUGAAAUCCUGGUGGCGAAAUUUGGCAGCUCCCCUUACAGAACGAGCUGCACAGCCUCACGUGUGAGCUGCUGCCUUUAGUUAAGUGUGCUGGUGGGGAAGGCGAAGGCAAAUGCCUUAAGGUCUACCAUGCAUGUGCUGCAAAGAGUCAAAGCUCGGUUGUCAAAGCCAAGGUGACAGUGUAACGUCAAGGAGAAACUGACCUGGAAAAUUAGCCCGGUGGAAGAAGACUUAAAAGUGGUUUUGUCAGUUAAAUGGACUCCAAACGCCGGCAAACCCAAAACACAGCAGGUUUUGGGAGGAGGAGGCGCCCAGCGUCCUUUCCUCCUUGCCAUUAACCACCCGACUGAACUCGGACGAAAUUGGCAGCAGGUGAAGUGGGGAGGACUGUAAGUAGACACGUCGUAGCAACAGGGAACAAUUUGAGGCGCAUUUUGCACACCCGAGAGGAGCCGUCCGCCUUACUGAUGUGACACUGCCUGGAGGUGAGCGCACCGUAGAUGAAAGGCUACGACGACCAUUUCUGAUAAGCCUAAAACCUCGUGGUUCAUUAAAGUCUGAAAUGCAGUUGUAGCAGAAGUGCUAAGUCACAGCUGGCACCAGUGAUUGAGCACCCGGUGGGAAGGCAGGGCCAAUCCAGGGGAGCUCAGGUGCAUGCAAUGUACCUGAGUGGCAGGAAGGGGUGGAGCCAGGAUCCACCCCUUCCCAGGCCUCAUUUAAGGGCUGGCAGUGGAAGCGAGAGCAUCUCCCUCGAGAUCCCUGCGUACCUGGGGCUUUCUGAAGCACGCCGUUGGCCUCGCGGGAGAACCGCAUCGCAUCUCUCGUCCGAGAAGAUAAGAUUUGUGUUCCCUAUCAGCGUCCCCCGGUUUCUGCAUGAAAACCAAGCAUGCAUCACAGCUGGCAAACAAGGCAAAAGAAGAUGCAUAAGGGUACCUGAAAUGAAGCAGCUUCAAGGGAGCAGAGGAUGAAGAGCAGAUCUCCAAGCAUUAGAGGGUGAGUGCCAGAUUUUUUUUUCCCUCUUUACAUCAAACCUCAUGAGUUGCCUUGCUCUCAAGAAAAGCACGUAAUUGUUUACUCAACAGUUUACUUGAUAUUUAGUUAGAGUAGCUAUUUUAGUUAGAUAUUGUUAGUUACAUUAGCUGUUGAUGAAUAUUGACUUCGAUAUUGAUGAACAUUGUUUGCUUUCUUGAGAAGUUAAGUUCUUUCUGCAUGUGAUUGUUAAUGGAAUAGAGGAGACUUCUAUUCAGGAGGAGUGGAAAGUUUAUUGGCACUGCAGGGGAAAGGCAGUUAACAAACAGUUUCUGCAAGCUGAUAAGGCAGAUACACUCACAAUGAUAUGAGAAGUUAAAGCCCCGCUUCUUUGUUUAGAGAAUAUCCACAAUCUCUUUUGAUAAAGUUACUCAGAGAUAGGCUCAAAGUAAAGGAAUAAGACACAGCAAAAGGUAAAGCCUGCAAUAACAAGAAAUUGUUUGGAGUGACUUCUGUUUAGAAGCACUCGCUCCUGUAUCCUAGUUCUGCUAAAGAAUCUCAGUUUUCAUUUAUCCUAUUUGCUGUGACUAAGGCACAUACAGAAAACUACAUUUUAUUUCUUUAUAUGUCUCUUACGAUAAGAGGCUCAGAAGCAUUUCUGUUUUGUACUUUUUGUUAAACUGAUUUACCAAUUUAGUUUUUGUUUCCUUUGAUAGAGCAAAGCAGCAAGCCUCCCCACUCAAGAGCAUUAUUUCAAGCUCCAGCUCCUGGAACAGAAUAGCAUUACCAUGCACCCAAAGACCUCAAGCUGCUGGUAAGCUAUUGCUGGUGGCCAGAGAUGUUAGAUACUCACAAGCAUGUUCUCUUCUCCUGCAGACAUUUGAAAUCUACCACUUCUGUUUCCACCUCAAGCUUACCACAGACAGAAGGGGAACCACACCACUCUGAGCAGCAGCAGCAGCUUAAAUCCUUGGUCUCGCACGGGGAGCCCCUACAAGAAGGAGGCAGCGCUUAAUAAGAUUAGCAAAUGUUUAAGUCUGAGCAAAUAAAGAUAGCAAGUUGUUUCUCAGCAAAAAACUAGCAGGUUCUGGCUGCUGACUAACAGUCAUUUCAAUAGCUCAGUGACCUCUUAGGUCACAAGCCAAGGUGCCUUUCAGGAUUUGACUUACGUUUCAAAACCAAUUGAGUUUUCUCCUCAGGCAGAACACAGAACCCCACUAAGUCCCAACUCCUACCUUCCAGCCCAGGACAAAGAGCACCAUCACAGCUCAGGAGCCCCUCAACUCCAAG